CUUACUUGUUGCACCAAUCCUUUUCCGAACGAACGAUUUCCAAUAAUAACAGCUCUAUCAUGGUCUUGCAAUGCUCCCGAUACAAUUUCUGAAGCAGAUGCGGACAUUUCAUCUAUCAACACUACAAUAGGAAUUUCUGUGUCAAUAGGCAUUGCUGUAGCUUUAUAUACUUUAUCCCAAUCGCUAAUUUUUCCUUUAGUGCUAACUACUUCAGAACCUUUAGGAACAAAAUAAUUUACAAUAUCUAUGGCUUCUUUCAUUAAUCCUCCACCAUUU
This 276-nucleotide non-coding RNA is filed under the name marine eukaryotic metagenome. The record is from RNAcentral.